This is a non-coding RNA of Podarcis lilfordi (Lilford's wall lizard), 73 nucleotides long. NCBI's taxonomy places the organism in Eukaryota, Metazoa, Chordata, Lepidosauria, Squamata, Lacertidae. The record is from the annotation of a GenBank genome assembly.
ACACAAAUAGCUCAGUUGCUAGAGCAUGACACUCUUAAUCUCAGGCUCAUGGGUUUGAGCCCUGCGUUGGGUA